UUCUCAGCGGCAGUCGUGUUAGCUGCAGUCUCAUCGCUGAAACAAAGACGAUUCUGUGGAGUUGUUCGAGGAUGGAAAGAUAAGGUUAACGUCAUCAUACUGAGCACCCAGGUCCAAGGCGAGUGUGCGUUUCUGGACCCCUGGGUCUACAUCCUCCUGAGGAAGGCCAUCCUCAAGAAGCUCUUCCUGCUGGUGCACAAAGUCCCACCCCCACCCUCUCAACCACUGGAAGUAGACCAACGGCACCUCCAUCAGAAGUAAGCCAGACUGCUUCUGCUUGGAUGGAAAUGUCAGAGGCCUACCAGACACAAUAUUGUGCUGUCCAUUCAUGAGGCAUACAAGACACUGGCAUGUUAGUUAUCAUUGACCGUGACAAACACUUAAUGGCUGGACCCAGAUGGACACCUAUUGAUUGCUUCUAGCCAACCUAUUAGUACCUUACUACCUAACCUUGAAAGGUUGAACUCUGCAAUCAGCACUAGGAUGUCAAUGUUGUCUUCUUGAGUCUUCUCUGUGACAGUUAUGGCUUAUAAACCCAGCUUCUCAGAACUAAAGACAUCUGUAGUUCUAGAGUCCCUCACAGCCCUCAAAGCAAGUGCAUAAUGACAAGGGCAAUUGAUUGUUUUACAGCUCAGUCAGUGAGUGAUUGAAAUAUCGCCUCAGCAGGUGUUCCUCUGGUAAAAUGAAUUGUUCUGUUUCGCUGCUGUUGUGUCUGGCAGAUGGUUGGCAGAUUAAAAAUGAACACAU
Long non-coding RNA from Oncorhynchus tshawytscha (Chinook salmon), 747 nucleotides. RefSeq lists it as uncharacterized. The record is from RefSeq and is a predicted model, not a curated record. The transcript has 2 exons. Lineage: Eukaryota; Metazoa; Chordata; Actinopteri; Salmoniformes; Salmonidae.